GGCUGGUCUGAAGGUAAUGAGUGAUUGCAAUGGAUUAUUCACAGUCAGUUAUAGUUCAAACUCUUUAUUCUCCUCUCCGCCCCCUUCUCAUUAUUGCACUUAACUAGUCUUUA
This is an unclassified non-coding RNA of Otolemur garnettii (small-eared galago), 113 nucleotides long. It matches the Rfam family "Y RNA". From Rfam's summary of the family: Y RNAs are components of the Ro ribonucleoprotein particle (Ro RNP), in association with Ro60 and La proteins. The Y RNAs and Ro60 and La proteins are well conserved, but the function of the Ro RNP is not known. In humans the RNA component can be one of four small RNAs -- hY1, hY3, hY4 and hY5. The record is from Ensembl. Lineage: Eukaryota; Metazoa; Chordata; Mammalia; Primates; Galagidae.